This 239-nucleotide ribosomal RNA is filed under the name uncultured bacterium. RNAcentral describes it as "partial 16S ribosomal RNA". It matches the Rfam family "Bacterial small subunit ribosomal RNA", at positions 15 to 244 of the family's 1533-position model. The record is from RNAcentral.
GAUCCUGGCUCAGGAUGAACGCUAGCUACAGUCUUAACACAUGCAAGUCGAGGGGCAGCAUGGUCUUAGCUUGCUAAGGCCGAUGGCGACCGGCGCACGGGUGAGUAACGCGUAUCCAACCCGCCUUACACUCUUGGACAGCCUUCUGAAAAGGGAGAUUAAUACAAGAUGUUAUCAUGAGUAAGCAUUUUCGCAUGAUUAAAGGUUUACCGGUGUAAGAUGGGGAUGCGUUCCAUUAG